This 310-nucleotide signal recognition particle RNA is filed under the name Triticum dicoccoides. Its description in RNAcentral is "SRP RNA Plant_SRP". It matches the Rfam family "Plant signal recognition particle RNA". The record is from RNAcentral. Lineage: Eukaryota; Viridiplantae; Streptophyta; Magnoliopsida; Poales; Poaceae.
GCCGAGUUCAGUAGCAUGAGCUUGUAACCCGAGCGGGAGCUUUAGGGUGGUGUGGAUGUUGCCGUAGCGCUGUGGGCCUGGUCCGGUCGUGCUCCUGCUGGCCCGCCCGUUCCAAGUUGGUAGUGGACCGCUGGGGCCUGUGCGAAAGCUGGGCCUCACGGGCCGUAAUGUUGGCAGGCACAUCGUUAGGCUGGCUUCACAGAGCAGCGAGAACUGCCCGCUUCCAAUGGUGGAAGGAUAACGGGCCGCUGCACAACUGGGCCGCACUUGGGCCUCUCAGCCUACUCCAACAGAACAGACCACCACUUCU